Molecule: long non-coding RNA, 1142 nt
Organism: Fundulus heteroclitus (mummichog)
Lineage: Eukaryota; Metazoa; Chordata; Actinopteri; Cyprinodontiformes; Fundulidae
Exons: 4
Source: RefSeq, a predicted model, not a curated record
UUUUGAAGUUCAAAUUUUUUCGAUUGAAUCAUUUUGGAACAAACGUACCGUGGUGGGCGGGUGCUUCUCUAUUGGUCAGACAUGUUUGAUUGACAAGUGUCUACACCAACGACGUCUUUCUGACAAAGAAGUCUUGUUCGGCACUCCCCAGGCCAGACAGCUUUUUAACAGCAAGAGGGAACAGCGGUGAAGUUGUCGGGCGGAGUGGCAGACCAUCUAUUGUUACCAGAGAGCACAUAGACGUCCUUAUGAAGCAAGGACAUACAAUCAAAAAAAAGGCAAAAAUGAUUGGAUGUUCCUCGUCGUUUUUGAACAACAAAUCAAAGCUGGUGGACCUACACAUAAGAGGAAGACUGUCUGCCUUAGAUGACAAUCAGCUGCAAGAGCGUGUGAGCACAUUGCAGGACCAGUAUCCAAACUCUGGGAAUGAGAUGAUGAGGGUGCUGCUUCGUGCUCAAGAUGUGAUUGUCACACGGGCCAGGGUACGCUAAAUGUUGGGAAGGACAAACCUGACAUCUGCUUCAAGAAGGUGGAGUCGGACUGUUGCAAGAUGGGGCUUUGUGAUACAUGGUGCCAUCGAAGGACACUCGUGUGGGAUUACUUCAGCUGCAGUAUAAACAAUAGGGCAACAACAGUACUCUGUCAGUUUUUGAAAGCAACAUCUUACUAUGGACUACCAUCAAGAGUCAGAUCAGACCAUGGGGAUGAAAACAUGCUGCUUGCUUUAUGCAUGCAUCUAGUUCAAGGGCUGGAACACAGAGGCUUCAUAACAGGAGAAUCAGUUCAUAAUCAGCGCAUAGAACACCUUUGGCAGGAUGUAUUUUUGCAUGUGCUGCAGCAUUUCUACCAUACAUUCUACUGUCUGGAGGACGCAGAGAAUCUUAACCCAGAUAAUGAUAUCCACAGACUUUCUUUACAUAUUGUAUAUCCACCUGAGAUUCAAAGGAGGCUGGAACAGUUCAGACAGGCUUGGUACCACCAUGGUUUGCCCACAGAAAGUAAUCACACAGCAGCUCGUCUGUAAUUCUGAUGCAGAAUACAUUUGACAAUUAUUGACAUUUAAUCAUUCUUUUGCACAUUGCCAUUAUCACUUUAUUUUAGAUCUGUAAAUAUUUAUUUAUAUAUAUAUAUAUAUAUAUAUA